Unclassified non-coding RNA from Papio anubis (olive baboon), 147 nucleotides. It matches the Rfam family "Metazoan signal recognition particle RNA". Rfam says of the family: The signal recognition particle (SRP) is a universally conserved ribonucleoprotein. It is involved in the co-translational targeting of proteins to membranes. The eukaryotic SRP consists of a 300-nucleotide 7S RNA and six proteins: SRPs 72, 68, 54, 19, 14, and 9. Lineage: Eukaryota; Metazoa; Chordata; Mammalia; Primates; Cercopithecidae. The record is from Ensembl.
GCCGGGUGUGGUAGUGUGCACCUGUAGCCCCAUCUACUUGGAUGCUGAGGUGGGAGGAUCCCUGGAGCUCAGGAGUUUGAGGCUGCAGUGAGCUAUGAUCGAGCCACUGCACUCUAGCCUGGGCGACAAAGGGAGUCCCUGUCUCAA